RNAcentral lists this long non-coding RNA (204 nucleotides) under Fukomys damarensis (Damara mole-rat). RNAcentral describes it as "lncRNA (ENSFDAG00000033342.1)". The record is from RNAcentral. Lineage: Eukaryota; Metazoa; Chordata; Mammalia; Rodentia; Bathyergidae.
AGGAUUAGAAGUCAGAACCGCCGUGCCUAUGAUGAAGUGUUCCGCAUGAGCAUCCUGGCCCUCCUAAGCUGGGUGGGGAUUCAGUGGAUCGCAGGUAGAUCCUGCAAAAAGACCACGCAGAGGAUCGAGAUCCGAUACGGGGUCUCCGGAGAGAACAGCGCCUCUCCAGGAGAGGCCAGUCUAAUCAAGACAAGAAAAUGAGAG